Molecule: ribosomal RNA, 465 nt
Filed under: uncultured bacterium
Lineage: Bacteria
Description: partial 16S ribosomal RNA
Rfam family: Bacterial small subunit ribosomal RNA
Source: RNAcentral
GAUGAACGCUGGCGGCGUGCUUAACACAUGCAAGUCGAACGGAAAGGCUCCUGCUUGCAGGGGUACUCGAGUGGCGAACGGGUGAGUAACACGUGGGUGAUCUGCCCUGCACUUCGGGAUAAGCCUGGGAAACUGGGUCUAAUACCGGAUAGGACGAUGGUUUGGAUGCCAUUGUGGAAAGUUUUUCGGUGUGGGAUGAGCUCGCGGCCUAUCAGCUUGUUGGUGGGGUAAUGGCCUACCAAGGCGUCGACGGGUAGCCGGCCUGAGAGGGUGUACGGCCACAUUGGGACUGAGAUACGGCCCAGACUCCUACGGGAGGCAGAAGUGGGGAAUAUUGCACAAUGGGCGCGAGCCUGAUGCAGCGACGCCGCGUGGGGGAUGACGGCCUUCGGGUUGUAAACUCCUUUCGCUAGGGACGAAGCGCAAGUGACGGUACCUGGAGAAGAAGCACCGGCUAACUACGUG